GACAAACGCUGGCGGCGUGCUUAACACAUGCAAGUCGAACGGAAAGGCCCCUUUGGGGGUACUCGAGUGGCGAACGGGUGAGUAACACGUGCGUAACCUGCCCUUGACUUCGGGAUAACUUCAGGAAACUGGGGCUAAUACCGGAUAGGAAUCCUUGCUGCAUGGUGGGGGUUGGAAAGCUUCGGCGGUUUUGGAUGGACUCGCGGCUUAUCAGCUUGUUGGUGGGGUAGUGGCUUACCAAGGCUUUGACGGGUAGCCGGCCUGAGAGGGCGACCGGCCACAUUGGGACUGAGAUACGGCCCAGACUCCUACGGGAGGCAGCAGUGGGGAAUAUUGCACAAUGGGCGGAAGCCUGAUGCAGCAACGCCGCGUGCGGGAUGACGGCCUUCGGGUUGUAAACCGCUUUCAGCAGGGGCGAAGCUUGUGGUGACGGUACCUGCAGAAGAAGCACCGGCUAACUACGUG
RNAcentral lists this ribosomal RNA (465 nucleotides) under uncultured bacterium. RNAcentral's name for it is "partial 16S ribosomal RNA". It matches the Rfam family "Bacterial small subunit ribosomal RNA", at positions 28 to 507 of the family's 1533-position model. The record is from RNAcentral.